AAAGUCACCUGCUUUUUGCUGGGUUUCAGUUUCUGUACAGUGUAUUCUUAUACAGCACACAUUAAAACAAAUUACACAAGAAAUUGUAGGGCAAUAGGAGAUUACUAAAUGACAUAGGAUUGGGAUGCCAGAAGACAUUCAGGGUUUGUGGUUAAAGAUAUCUGCUAGGUAAUCAAAGUUGUGUCCUGGAUAAUUGGAUAAUUGCAUACAGCUGGAAAGCCUGGGUGUUUUCAGUGAGAGCUGCACAUGCUGCUCCUAUGACUCCCCACUGUUCUGAGCACAGUGGGGCAGAAAGCAGUUGCCAACUUGAUGCAAGCAUGAAAAGUAGUGUCUGGAGGGUUUUAUCCCUGGAGAAGGCAGAUCCCCUUGGCAUGGGUCUAAGUCAGGCCUCUGUCAACGAAGUAUAAGCAUUUCCCAGAAGAGCUGAUCAGGGAUUUUCCAACAAACAUCUUCAGAAAAUAUCAUUUGACUACAGCUUUCAACAGCAGCACAAAAGGUUUUAGAUUACAGCCCUUGCCAGAAAAGGUCUUCCCCUGUUCCACUGGGAAAUUUCUGGUCAAAAGGAGGGAGUGGAGUCAUUUGCUAGUGAACCUCCCUGUGUCCUAGUAAUGCUCUAUCUGUGGGCACUGUGGACAUAAAGAAUGGCUUUUCAUGUUCACUGUCUCGCAAAGACUGCAGAAUAAGACCUUUCUGUGUAUGUCCUGUAGAUCUGUAUCAAAGCCAAUUGAUACGGCAUUUGAGAGCCCUGAAUUCACAGUUUCAUAUUGCAUGGCUCUCCUAAUUUUUGAAGAAUGAUACCAUUCUUCAAAAUGAGCGAAAGUCAUUUGCUGGGAGCUUUGUUUUUUGUGCUUGUCUGAUUGUUUUUUUUGUUGCGGGUAUUUGGGAUGGACAACACCCAGAUACGUGCAGUAUUAGGAUGUGAGUGUGACACUUUCUGUCAUCAGUAGAAUGGUGGGCUAUGCUUUGUCCUGUAAUAAUAAAGCAGCAUUUUAGUAAUAUUUUAUUUAUUUC
This 1011-nucleotide long non-coding RNA is filed under the name Anser brachyrhynchus (Pink-footed goose). RNAcentral describes it as "lncRNA (ENSABRG00000021742.1)". Lineage: Eukaryota; Metazoa; Chordata; Aves; Anseriformes; Anatidae. The record is from RNAcentral.